RNAcentral lists this ribosomal RNA (315 nucleotides) under uncultured eukaryote. RNAcentral's name for it is "partial 18S ribosomal RNA". It matches the Rfam family "Eukaryotic small subunit ribosomal RNA", at positions 1470 to 1796 of the family's 1831-position model. The record is from RNAcentral.
CCCUUAGACGUUCUGGGCCGCACGCGCGCUACACUGACCAGUGCAACAAGCAUCCGUCCUUGGCCGACAGGCCCGGGCAAUCUUUGAACGCUGGUCGUGAUGGGGAUAGACUUUUGCAAUUUUUGGUCUUCAACGAGGAAUUCCUAGUAAACGCAAGUCAUCAACUUGCAUUGAUUACGUCCCUGCCCUUUGUACACACCGCCCGUCGCACCUACCGAUUGAAUGGUCCGGUGAAGCCUCCGGAUUGGCGCGCACCUCGGUGCCGCCGAGAAGUUGGCUAAACCUUACCAUUUAGAGGAAGGUGGANUCGUAACA